Long non-coding RNA from Humulus lupulus (European hop), 363 nucleotides. RefSeq lists it as uncharacterized. The transcript has 2 exons. Lineage: Eukaryota; Viridiplantae; Streptophyta; Magnoliopsida; Rosales; Cannabaceae. The record is from RefSeq and is a predicted model, not a curated record.
GUCUUGGAUUGGUUAAUGACAAGGAAUAUUAUAUUUGUGUUUGAUUAGGACUUUGGAGAAGCUCGGGAUAGAGGACCGUGCUUGUGGCUACGUGAUAUCGGAAACCAGCGAAUUGAAAGGUAAGGGUAAGGGCAAGCUGGACCAGGCCUGAGGUGGAGAGCUCCGAGGUGAAAUGUACAUAGCCAGCCGUUCGAUCACCACGGUCGAGGAGUGUGUCAGGACGGAGAUUACCUAACCACUCAUUUUGCCUUAGUAUGGCUGUUGAUGUAUAUAGACUUUGUAACUUUUGUAAAUGACUUUUAAACUGUCAUUUUUGGGAUCCCUUGUACAUAAACAAUGUUUAGUAAUGAAAAUGUAUCUUUU